RNAcentral lists this ribosomal RNA (834 nucleotides) under Phellinus sp. YD-2015. Its description in RNAcentral is "eukaryotic LSU rRNA". The stretch from base 301 to 454 matches the Rfam family "5.8S ribosomal RNA". The record is from RNAcentral. Lineage: Eukaryota; Fungi; Basidiomycota; Agaricomycetes; Hymenochaetales; Hymenochaetaceae.
AGCAAGGUAACGGUAGGAGAACCUGCGGAAGGAUCAUUAUCGAGUAGGAACUCGAGAGCUGUUGCUGGUGGGGAACGCACAUCGUGCACGGCUCCCGUGCUCAAUCCAUUUCAACCCCCUUGUGCACCUUAUCGAAGUCAGUAGUCUUUCUCUUUUUGUUUGCCGGUUGUGUGUGGGAACCUCUUUCUGUUCACUUGGCCGGCGAGGAGAAAUAGAGGGUCGAAAGCUUUGACUUUUCUAUUAAACACUUUGUAUGUCUUGUGGAACGUAUUAGCUCCUUUGUAGGGGAGAAAUAAAUACAACUUUCAACAACGGAUCUCUUGGCUCUCGCAUCGAUGAAGAACGCAGCGAAAUGCGAUAAGUAAUGUGAAUUGCAGAAUUCAGUGAAUCAUCGAAUCUUUGAACGCACCUUGCGCCCCUUGGUAUUCCGAGGGGCAUGCCUGUUUGAGUGUCAUGUUAAUCUCAAACCCCUUGUCUUUUUUGUUGACUUGGUCGGUUUGGACUUGGAGGUGUUGCUGGCGUGAGUACGCAGUACUAUGUGUCGGCUCCUCUUAAUUGCAUUAGCUGGACUUUGGUUCGCAUUUGACGGUGUAAUAGUAAAGUGUUCGCCGGGCGUGCUUGCCUAACGGGUCUGCUUCUAAUCGUCUUCGGACAACUCUGUUCAUUUUGACCUUGACCUCAAAUCAGGUAGGACUACUCGCUGAACUUAGACGUAUCAAUACUCGGAGGAAAUCACACUAACACUGAGACCCCUAGGAGAUGAGAUUGAAGUUAAAAGAGGUCAAAUUUAAGAUCUCGCAGCUUUAAUCCGUACAAGCUGUUAUCUGGAGAGAC